Molecule: long non-coding RNA, 1225 nt
Filed under: Olea europaea subsp. europaea
Lineage: Eukaryota; Viridiplantae; Streptophyta; Magnoliopsida; Lamiales; Oleaceae
Source: RNAcentral
GACCCAUGAAAUAAACUGCAUUGAACUCACUUCCAAUUCUCCUCCGAGGAAUCAACACAGACUGACUAGAAGCUGGAGGUAAAUAUCAUUGGAUUUAGGAGCAGUGCGCUUGGUUUUCUUGCUCUUACCUCUGGCGACCAAAUCAAUACCCGUGGCUACUGUUGGUGGUGUUGUUGCUUUCCACCGCGCCUUUGGUGAUAAAUUUCAACAAAAAUGUCUGCAAUAGAGGCUUGUUUCUCAAGGUUUUUUUUUAUUGCAGGGGUUUCAGAUUUGGGUGUUUUUUUCGUGAGUCUUGAACGUAAUUAAUACGGUAAUAAUAGUUUUAAAUUAGUUUUAAGGUAUUAAUCAAAUAUUUAAAUUUUUUAGGGUACUACACCUAAUUUUCCCUAAUCAUUAAUGGACGAUUUCAUUGAUUUGGGCCACUCUAUUUGUUUUUUUAAAAAAAAAAGGCCCAAUAGCCCAAGUCAUCACAAUUCACACAAGCUGCUCAAAUCAUAUCUUCUUCUUUCUUCCCUCUUGGCCGGCGACUGCAUCUGUUGUCUCUGCAAUAUUUCUCUGCUCCUCUAUUUCGGGGGUUCCAAAAAUCCAGCUAGGGUGGCAUCAUUUUGCUCUUCAACAAUCCGGUAUAGAUAAAUUGCGUACUAUUGAUAUCUUAGUAUUCUUCACAAUACGUAUAUUCUUUAGCAAUUCAACUUUGACAAGGCUUACAUAUAGGAACAUUGAUGAUGUUGACAAGACAAUGGAUGAGAUAAACAAACAAACAGAAAACAUGAAGCAGAUAUAGGAAGCCUUGGCUACCCAUUGGUGCAGUAGCUGAUUUUGAUGAGGUUCUUUGCUCAUCUCUAAUUCUUCUACUUGUUUGAAGUUUUAUUUAUAUUGAAGUUAUCUCGCUGAUACACACGAGUUAGAUAUGCAAUUUAAAGUUAUAAUUUUUUUGUUAUGACAGGACGAAUUGGAGGCCGAGCUUGAAGAAUUGGAAGGUGAAGAGUUAAGGAACAGCUUCUUCAGCCUGCAACCACAGCCCCUACUGCUCCAGUUCACAUCCCAAAAGGCAGAGUACCUGUUUGAACAACUACACUUGUAUAUUUUUACAAGAAAAUAUUGAUGGUUGUUUGGAAUUUAUUAUUGAACAACUAUAUUUGUGUAUUUGAUUUUUACAUUUUACAUUUGAUAUUUGUAAUUUGUAUUUGAUUUUUACUAAAUAAUCAAAUUAAUUGGAUGACUG